CCUACGGGUGGCUGCAGUGGGGAAUAUUGGACAAUGGGCGAAAGCCUGAUCCAGCCAUGCCGCGUGUGUGAAGAAGGCCUUCGGGUUGUAAAGCACUUUCAGUGGGGAAGAAAGCCUUGGGGCUAAUACCCUCGAGGAAGGACAUCACCCACAGAAGAAGCACCGGCUAACUCCGUGCCAGCAGCCGCGGUAAUACGGAGGGUGCGAGCGUUAAUCGGAAUUACUGGGCGUAAAGCGCGCGUAGGCGGUCUGAUAAGCCGGUUGUGAAAGCCCCGGGCUCAACCUGGGAACGGCAUCCAGAACUGUCAGGCUAGAGUGCAGGAGAGGGAGGUAGAAUUCCCGGUGUAGCGGUGAAAUGCGUAGAGAUCGGGAGGAAUACCAGUGGCGAAGGCGGCCUUCUGGACUGACACUGACGCUGAGGUGCGAAAGCGUGGGUAGCAAACAGGAUUAGAUACCCUAGUAGUC
This 465-nucleotide ribosomal RNA is filed under the name Vreelandella stevensii. Its description in RNAcentral is "partial 16S ribosomal RNA". It matches the Rfam family "Bacterial small subunit ribosomal RNA", at positions 338 to 795 of the family's 1533-position model. Lineage: Bacteria; Pseudomonadati; Pseudomonadota; Gammaproteobacteria; Oceanospirillales; Halomonadaceae. The record is from RNAcentral.